Non-coding RNA from Schistosoma curassoni, 48 nucleotides. The record is from Rfam. Lineage: Eukaryota; Metazoa; Platyhelminthes; Trematoda; Strigeidida; Schistosomatidae.
AUCCAGCUGAUGAGUUUCAAAUAGGACGUGACGCGUGUCAAACUGGAU